Molecule: long non-coding RNA, 378 nt
Organism: Pseudophryne corroboree (corroboree frog)
Lineage: Eukaryota; Metazoa; Chordata; Amphibia; Anura; Myobatrachidae
Exons: 3
Source: RefSeq, a predicted model, not a curated record
CAGGAAUCUGGCCCAGUCUCUCAGGAUCCUUCAGGAUAGUGAAUAAUUAGACAGGACCCAGGUCUGGGAGCACAGUCAGCAACCUCACGCAAGACCUGGGUUGCCGUGGGCACCGCCCUGGAGCAUGAAUGGUAAUAAUGACAAGACAGGAGGACACUGGCCAGCCACCGCCAGAACCAGAGGACUAGUCCUCACCUCAUAACUCUGGACAUCCUAGCAGACCCGGAUCAGGAACACCACCUAGCCCACCAGAUGCCUCCAGACCUGGAGAACACUGGACAAUCUACCGAAGGUGAACACCGACAAAUCCACACAAAAAUGAAACCCAUCGCUCCGUGGCAACAACAAGCUAAGUAACACCAUUGGUCAGUGGGUCUG